RNAcentral lists this ribosomal RNA (500 nucleotides) under uncultured bacterium. RNAcentral's name for it is "partial 16S ribosomal RNA". It matches the Rfam family "Bacterial small subunit ribosomal RNA", at positions 30 to 523 of the family's 1533-position model. The record is from RNAcentral.
AUUGAACGCUGGCGGCAUGCCUUACACAUGCAAGUCGAACGGCAGCACGGGAGCAAUCCUGGUGGCGAGUGGCGAACGGGUGAGUAAAGUAUCGGAACGUGCCCAGUCGUGGGGGAUAACGUAGCGAAAGUUACGCUAAUACCGCAUACGAUCUAUGGAUGAAAGAGGGGGAUAGCAAGACCUCGCGCGAUUGGAGCGGUCGAUAUCAGAGUAGGUAGUUGGUGGGGUAAAGGCUCACCAAGCCAACGAUCUGUAGCUGGUCUGAGAGGACGACCAGCCACACUGGGACUGAGACACGGCCCAGACUCCGACGGGAGGCAGCAGUGGGGAAUUUUGGACAAUGGGCGAAAGCCUGAUCCAGCCAUGCCGCGUGCAGGAUGAAGGCCUUCGGGUUGUAAACUGCUUUUGUACGGAACGAAAAGGUUUGACUUAAUACGUUGGACUCAUGACGGUACCGUAAGAAUAAGCACCGGCUAACUACGUGCCAGCCGCCGCGGUAA